CAGCCGCCACGGUAAUACGUAGGGGGCUAGCGUUGUUCGGAAUUACUGGGCGUAAAGAGCUCGUAGGUGGUUUGUCGCGUUGUUCGUGAAAACUCACAGCUCAACUGUGGGCGUGCGGGCGAUACGGGCAGACUAGAGUACUGCAGGGGAGACUGGAAUUCCUGGUGUAGCGGUGAAAUGCGUAGAGAUCGGGAGGAACAUCAGUGGCGAAGGCGGCCAUCUGGGACAACACUGACGCUGAGGCACGAAAGCGUGGGGAGCAAACAGGAUUAGAUACCCCGGUAGUCCCUGUCUCUUAUAC
This 301-nucleotide ribosomal RNA is filed under the name uncultured bacterium. RNAcentral's name for it is "partial 16S ribosomal RNA". It matches the Rfam family "Bacterial small subunit ribosomal RNA", at positions 509 to 807 of the family's 1533-position model. The record is from RNAcentral.